RNAcentral lists this ribosomal RNA (231 nucleotides) under uncultured bacterium. RNAcentral describes it as "partial 16S ribosomal RNA". It matches the Rfam family "Bacterial small subunit ribosomal RNA", at positions 106 to 339 of the family's 1533-position model. The record is from RNAcentral.
CUGAGUAACACGUAGGAAUCUACCCUUAACUUGGGAAUAACUUAGGGAAACCUUUGCUAAUACCCAAUAAUCUGACCCGUGCUUCGCACAGGCCAGUAAAGAUUUAUCGGUUAAGGAUGAGCCUGCGGUCCAUCAGGUAGUUGGUGAGGUAAAUGCUCACCAAGCCUAUGACGGAUACCGGGACUGAGAGGUCGUACCGGCAGGGGGGCACUGAGACACGGGCCCCACUCC